Small nucleolar RNA from Sarcophilus harrisii (Tasmanian devil), 197 nucleotides. Lineage: Eukaryota; Metazoa; Chordata; Mammalia; Dasyuromorphia; Dasyuridae. The record is from Ensembl.
UGGCCCAAUGAUGAUCAAAAGAUGCGCUUAGAGAGAACAGGACUAACAUUUCAAGGUCCAGGCAUUUCUGUGCUUUUACUUCUCCUAUCCUUUUUUCUUCUUUCCUUCAAUCUUUUUUCUUUAACUUUGUUUUCCUGCCUAGACUGAAAUUGUGUGUCCUUCUCAAUGACGGGUAAGAUUAUGAGAUCUGAGGGCUA